RNAcentral lists this ribosomal RNA (279 nucleotides) under uncultured bacterium. RNAcentral describes it as "partial 16S ribosomal RNA". It matches the Rfam family "Bacterial small subunit ribosomal RNA", at positions 506 to 784 of the family's 1533-position model. The record is from RNAcentral.
UGCCAGCCGCCGCGGUAAUACGUAGGGAGCGAGCGUUAUCCGGAAUCACUGGGCUUAAAGGGUGCGUAGGCGGACUUGUAGGUAUGUCGUGAAAUCCCUCGGCUCAACCGGGGAACUGCGGUGUAAACCACAAGUCUUGAGGUAGGUAGAGGUUGUCGGAACGUUCGGUGGAGCGGUGAAAUGCGUUGAUAUCGAACGGAACGCCUAAGGUGAAGACAGGCAACUGGGCCUUACCUGACGCUGAGGCACGAAAGCGUGGGGAUCAAACAGGAUUAGAUA